Molecule: small nuclear RNA, 119 nt
Organism: Sipha flava (yellow sugarcane aphid)
Lineage: Eukaryota; Metazoa; Arthropoda; Insecta; Hemiptera; Aphididae
Product: U5 spliceosomal RNA
Exons: 1
Source: RefSeq, a predicted model, not a curated record
UAACUCCGGUUCCCUUUUAAAUCGAAAAAUCUUUCGCCUUUUAUUAAAGAUUUCCGUGGUGGGGAACACUCAAAGGAGUCUAGAAAAUAAUUUUUAAACCGCUUGAUUUCGAUCGGGCU